This 385-nucleotide long non-coding RNA is filed under the name Gossypium raimondii (Peruvian cotton). Its description in RNAcentral is "long non-coding RNA (GRAI_LNC005539)". The record is from RNAcentral. Lineage: Eukaryota; Viridiplantae; Streptophyta; Magnoliopsida; Malvales; Malvaceae.
UUUUUUGGAUAAUUUUGAUUUUUUAUUUGAGGAUAAAGGGUGAGAAGUAAAAGUUUGGGGGGAAAAUAAAAAGUUUUGGAGAAUAAAAGUUUGAGGGAAAGUAAAUAGGGGGAGUAAAAUUUUGGAGGGAAAAUAUUAAAAAAAAAUUGGAGGGGGGAGGGUUUGGGGUAGAUGGGAGGUGGGAUGGGAAGGGAAUAAAAGUUUUAGGGGAAAAGUGGGAGGGAGUAAAAAUUUUGGGAGAAAAUAAAAGGUUUUGAGGGUUUUUGGGAGUAAAAUUUUGAGAAAAAAUAAAUGGGAGAGUAAAAUUUUGGUGGGAAAUGGAUUUUGGGUAGAUUGGGGGUUGGGAGGGGAGGGGAGUAAAAGUUUUGGGGGGAAAGUGCGAAGG